RNAcentral lists this ribosomal RNA (815 nucleotides) under Listeria innocua. RNAcentral's name for it is "partial 23S ribosomal RNA". It matches the Rfam family "Bacterial large subunit ribosomal RNA", at positions 716 to 1528 of the family's 2925-position model. The record is from RNAcentral. Lineage: Bacteria; Bacillati; Bacillota; Bacilli; Caryophanales; Listeriaceae.
CGAAACCAGGUGAUCUACCCAUGUCCAGGAUGAAGGUAAGGUAAUACUUACUGGAGGUCCGAACCCACGCACGUUGAAAAGUGCGGGGAUGAGGUGUGGGUAGCGGAGAAAUUCCAAUCGAACUUGGAGAUAGCUGGUUCUCUCCGAAAUAGCUUUAGGGCUAGCCUCGAGGUAAAGAGUCAUGGAGGUAGAGCACUGUUUGGACUAGGGGCCCUUCUCGGGUUACCGAAUUCAGAUAAACUCCGAAUGCCAUGUACUUAUACUCGGGAGUCAGACUGCGAGUGAUAAGAUCCGUAGUCGAAAGGGAAACAGCCCAGACCACCAGUUAAGGUCCCCAAAUAUAUGUUAAGUGGAAAAGGAUGUGGGGUUGCUUAGACAACCAGGAUGUUGGCUUAGAAGCAGCCACCAUUGAAAGAGUGCGUAAUAGCUCACUGGUCGAGUGACCCCGCGCCGAAAAUGUACCGGGGCUAAACAUAUUACCGAAACUGUGGAUGAACCUCUUCGGAGGUUCGUGGUAGGAGAGCGUUCUAAGGGCGGUGAAGUCAGACCGGAAGGACUGGUGGAGCGCUUAGAAGUGAGAAUGCCGGUAUGAGUAGCGAAAGAAGGGUGAGAAUCCCUUCCACCGAAUAUCUAAGGUUUCCUGAGGAAGGCUCGUCCGCUCAGGGUUAGUCGGGACCUAAGCCGAGGCCGAUAGGCGUAGGCGAUGGACAACAGGUAGAGAUUCCUGUACCAGUGCUAAUUGUUUAACCGAUGGGGUGACACAGAAGGAUAGGGAAUCGCACGAAUGGAAAUGUGCGUCCAAGCAGUGAGUGUGA